This 851-nucleotide ribosomal RNA is filed under the name aquatic bacterium R1-B13. RNAcentral's name for it is "bacterial SSU rRNA". It matches the Rfam family "Bacterial small subunit ribosomal RNA", at positions 8 to 853 of the family's 1533-position model. The record is from RNAcentral.
AGAGUUUGAUCAUGGCUCAGAUUGAACGCUGGCGGAAUGCUUUACACAUGCAAGUCGAACGAUGAACCUUAGCUUGCUAAGGGGAUUAGUGGCGAACGGGUGAGUAAUAUAUCGGAACGUACCUUGUAAUGGGGGAUAACUAGUCGAAAGAUUAGCUAAUACCGCAUACGCCCUGAGGGGGAAAGUAGGGGAUCUUCGGACCUUACGUUAUAAGAGCGGCCGAUAUCUGAUUAGCUAGUUGGUGGGGUAAUGGCCUACCAAGGCGACGAUCAGUAGCUGGUCUGAGAGGACGACCAGCCACACUGGAACUGAGACACGGUCCAGACUCCUACGGGAGGCAGCAGUGGGGAAUUUUGGACAAUGGGCGCAAGCCUGAUCCAGCCAUUCCGCGUGAGUGAAGAAGGCCUUCGGGUUGUAAAGCUCUUUCGCAAGGGAAGAAAACUUACAUUCUAAUAAAGUGUGAGGCUGACGGUACCUUGAUAAGAAGCACCGGCUAACUACGUGCCAGCAGCCGCGGUAAUACGUAGGGUGCGAGCGUUAAUCGGAAUUACUGGGCGUAAAGCGUGCGCAGGCGGUUUUGUAAGUCAGAUGUGAAAUCCCCGAGCUCAACUUGGGAACUGCGUUUGAAACUACAAGACUAGAAUAUGUCAGAGGGGGGUAGAAUUCCACGUGUAGCAGUGAAAUGCGUAGAGAUGUGGAGGAAUACCAAUGGCGAAGGCAGCCCCCUGGGAUAAUAUUGACGCUCAUGCACGAAAGCGUGGGGAGCAAACAGGAUUAGAUACCCUGGUAGUCCACGCCCUAAACGAUGUCUACUAGUUGUUGGUGGAGUAAAAUCCAUGAGUAACGCAGCU